Molecule: small RNA, 24 nt
Filed under: Arabidopsis thaliana (thale cress)
Lineage: Eukaryota; Viridiplantae; Streptophyta; Magnoliopsida; Brassicales; Brassicaceae
Description: ATSL138730
Source: RNAcentral
AAGAGACGGAAGAAAAUGGGUGAC